UGAUUCAUGAAAUACCAACCUUUCCCCAGUCUCUCCUAGGAACACAAGUCUAGUUGUCCCAGGACAACACACUUGUCACUGAGGCCUGGACUUGUGAUUCAUGAAAUACCAACCUUUCCCCAGUCUCUCCUAGGAACACAAGUCUAGUUGUCCCAGGACAACACACUUGUCACUGAGGCCUGGACUUGCCUAUAGGCCUCAGAUUGUCCCACACAGGAGAGGAGCCUGGUCCAUUUAUACUCCCAUCCACGGUGAAUCUCUCUGGGGAUGUUUUGCUGCAAGUUUACCACAACUUGAGAGAAUGAAAGCAGGGCAAUGGCCUGGUCACACUUGGCUUUUCAAAGGUCCUUCUGGUCACACUUGGCUUUUCAAAGGUCCUUCUGGGGAUGGUGUGGCACAGAGGACCCCCUGGAGACAUUUAUGAAACCUACUUGAACUGGCACGGUAGAACAGGGCAUGGAGGGAGCUGGGGCACUUGUACUCUGUGUACCGUCUUGGCCUGAUUUUGGACUCAAAUGCAAACACUGGCUGCUCUUGGCUCUCAAGCCUGCUGGACUGUGGACUGGAACUCACACCACCAACUCUCGGGGCUCUCAGAACUACAAACGCUACGUCAUAGGCUCCCUGGGUCUCUAGUUUGCUGACUGCAGACUUCUCAGCCUCCAUAACACACGAGCCAAUUCCUUAUAACAUAUGAUGAUAGAUACUCUUCCUUAAGUAGCUCCAAUUUCUGAUAUAUCAUUUUUAUUUAUUUAUUUUUUACUCCAAGAACUUUUUAACAUUUCUUAUAAGGCAAGACUCCUGACAAAUUCCCCCAACUUUUGUUUUUCUAAGAAAGACCAUAUUUCUUCUAUAAUUUUGAAAGCUAAUUUGAAAGGACAUAGAAUUGUAUGUUGUCAUUUUUUUC
Molecule: long non-coding RNA, 907 nt
Filed under: Marmota monax (woodchuck)
Lineage: Eukaryota; Metazoa; Chordata; Mammalia; Rodentia; Sciuridae
Source: RNAcentral